GGGAGUUUUUAACUCAAGUGGCGGACGGGUGAGUAACACGUAAGAAUUUACCUUUAGGAGGGGGAUAACACAUGGAAACAGGUGCUAAUACCCCAUAUGCUUUCGAGUGAAAUGGAUUUUUCCGCCUAGAGAGAAGCUUGCGGCUGAUUAGCUUGUUGGUGAGGUAAUGGCUCACCAAGGCGACGAUCAGUAUCUGGUUUGAGAGGACGAUCAGACACACUGGAACUGAGACACGGUCCAGACUCCUACGGGAGGCAGCAGUGGGGAAUUUUCCGCAAUGGGCGAAAGCCUGACGGAGCAAUACCGCGUGAGGGAUGACGGCCUAUGGGUUGUAAACCUCUUUUUUCAGGGAGGAAUCAAUGACGUGUACCUGAAGAAUAAGCAUCGGCUAACUCCGUGCCAGCAGCCGCGGUAAGACGGAGGAUGCAAGUGUUAUCCGGA
Molecule: ribosomal RNA, 441 nt
Filed under: uncultured bacterium
Lineage: Bacteria
Description: bacterial SSU rRNA
Rfam family: Bacterial small subunit ribosomal RNA
Source: RNAcentral